RNAcentral lists this ribosomal RNA (800 nucleotides) under uncultured bacterium. RNAcentral's name for it is "bacterial SSU rRNA". It matches the Rfam family "Bacterial small subunit ribosomal RNA", at positions 214 to 1006 of the family's 1533-position model. The record is from RNAcentral.
UGCGCUAAAUGACGAGCCUAAGUCGGAUUAGCUAGUUGGUGGGGUAAAGGCCUACCAAGGCGACGAUCUGUAGCGGGUCUGAGAGGAUGAUCCGCCACACUGGGACUGAGACACGGCCCAGACUCCUACGGGAGGCAGCAGUGGGGAAUAUUGGACAAUGGGCGAAAGCCUGAUCCAGCCAUGCCGCGUGUGUGAAGAAGGCCUUUUGUUGUAAGGCACUUUAAGCGAGGAGGAGGCUACUAGUACUAAUACUACUGGAUAGUGGACGUUACUCGCAGAAUAAGCACCGGCUAACUCUGUGCCAGCAGCCGCGGUAGUACAGAGGGUGCGAGCGUUAAUCGGAUUUACUGGGCGUAAAGCGUGUGUAGGCGGCUUUUUAAGUCGGAUGUGAAAUCCCCGAGCUUAACUUGGGAAUUGCAUUCGAUACUGGGAAGCUAGAGUAUGGGAGAGGAUGGUAGAAUUCCAGGUGUAGCGGUGAAAUGCGUAGAGAUCUGGAGGAAUACCGAUGGCGAAGGCAGCCAUCUGGCCUAAUACUGACGCUGAGGUACGAAAGCAUGGGGAGCAAACAGGAUUAGAUACCCUGGUAGUCCAUGCCGUAAACGAUGUCUACUAGCCGUUGGGGCCUUUGAGGCUUUAGUGGCGCAGCUAACGCGAUAAGUAGACCGCCUGGGGAGUACGGUCGCAAGACUAAAACUCAAAUGAAUUGACGGGGGCCCGCACAAGCGGUGGAGCAUGUGGUUUAAUUCGAUGCAACGCGAAGAACCUUACCUGGCCUUGACAUACUAGAAACUUUCCAGAGA